RNAcentral lists this long non-coding RNA (2024 nucleotides) under Anolis carolinensis (green anole). Its description in RNAcentral is "lncRNA (ENSACAG00000043667.1)". Lineage: Eukaryota; Metazoa; Chordata; Lepidosauria; Squamata; Anolidae. The record is from RNAcentral.
AGAAGAAGUGUUUUUUAAAUUGAAUUAUCUGCAAAAAUCUGUGAUAAGCACGUCAGAGGCAGGUGUGUAAUGGAGACAGGUCUUGCAAGGUGAAGACUUAAGACUUUUUGAUCAGCAGGGACUACAUUACCUGCAUAUUCUUGAAUGCCUCUGUUCCUAUGAAUUAAGCUGCAAAUCCAGGGGAAAUGGAGUUUCAUCAGCAACAGUGUAUUGUUAUAAGCUAUUCCUCCUACAAUACAAAAACAUAUUGGGGUUGAUUUUUCAAAAGACCUGUUCUACUAGAGACAAAAAUGCUCCAAUUUUGUGAUAAUUAACACAACUAUCUUUACUUUUGGAUUGCCCAUGCACACAGAGGAUUUCUCUGUGCAAUCCAUCGAUUUUUACCACUAUAAUAUAGAUAAAAGAAUUGAGCCACGUUAGAUCUAUCCCUGCCAUUUUAAACUGCAAAUGAGGGAAUUAGAUUAUUUCUGAGAGGUGGAGACCAAAUACACACAAAGUCUAUCCUACAUGUUGAAAACAUAAAUUCAAGUAGAAAUAUAUGACCUGUCCCAAUUUCCUUACAAUGAUUUGCUGAAUAACAAGGAUAAAAUAGUUGUUUUCCCCGUCUAGGGAUACAUAUAAACGCAUAACCUGAAUUACUACAAUCUUUAGACUUCAAUAGUUCCUCCAGAUGGAUCAAUAGUUCCAAAAAGCACCAGCCUAUUCUCUUUCUCAAUUUAAUAUCUUACAGUGUUUUUCUUGCUCCUGUAGCCAGUCACAUCCAAGGGUGCAUCUAUGCUAUAGAAUUAAUGCAGUUUGAUACGACUUUAACUGCCAUGCCUCAAUGAUAUGGAAUCAGCAGUUGAAAAUUAAGAAGCUGAGUAUCAAGCCUUAUCUCUCUUGCUGGAGAAACAAUGUUUGGGCUGAAAUGCAGGGGGAAGAUUACGAAAAUAUUGUCCAGUACCUCUGUGGUCAUUGUUACUGCCAAAAUCUGUAAGGAAGACUCCGAACUCUAAGGGAAGGAAACUGCCUCACUGACGCUGGCUGGGCUGCUGGCUGCUUUUGGAAAAAGAACAUUGAUUGAGAUGGAUCAUUUUGGUCAGUCCUGCAAGGCUGUUUGCAUGUUCUCAUGGAAAACACAGAAUUGAAUAAGACACGGGGUUUUGGCUGAAGAGGGGCUGUAUUUUGUUUUCGGAAAACUGAAACCAGAUCGAAAUCCAGAUUGCUGCUUGUGGUGUGAACACUCAUCUCAUUUUGCUGUCGGUGAACUGAUGUUGCUGGAUUGUGUAUACAAAAACUCAUGCGAUCAUUGGCAACAGCGGGACAAAAUGAAACCUAUGUGCAUUGCAUAUCCUUGGGAAGCAAUAUCUCUCUUCCAACAUUAGGAUCAUCUGCCAAGUUCUUUGUGGGCAAGACAUUAUGUUAAAAAGCCAAUUUAUUACCAUCUGAUUCCCUAACCUACAUUCGCCAGUCUCAUAAGAACAGAGGUGUGGGGUAGAGGCAAAAUGACAUUUCCCUUUGGAGUCCAUAUUUCUAAGAAUUGCACAGAGUGAGACACUGAAAUCAUUCAAACUUAGAACUUUCUUGUUCAGUGUGGCUGCUCUCACGGCAAUGCCAGCCCAUUUUCUUUGGAUGCCUGAACUAUAUUUCUAAACACUGAGAUUAAGUUUUAAAUUAAUAUUUGGAGACUGGAGGGAAAAUUCAUUUUAGGGAGAGGCAGAAUUCUUAUUUGUAUUAUAAAAUAUGAUCAUAACCUAUUAGGAAUAUAUUCAUAACCUGUUAGGAUUAUGAUACCAAUAUGGUUAGAUAUUGGCGCAGAGUAACAAAACACAGAAGUCUAGGGGUUUAUGUGAGCAGAGGUGAGCAAAAAGCAAAAUAGCCAGCCUCCCUUUCCCUUUAAAGAGUUAUGUGCAUAAAAUAAGCAUCAGAGACAUCAAAAAUAAAAUAGUAAAAAUAUGUUUACUCACAAUCUUGUAUGAUGAUGGUCAUACAGGUAAAAACAUCUUAGUUCCAAAAGAAUACAGUUCAGGAUACUACAUAUCUCU